Molecule: long non-coding RNA, 631 nt
Organism: Odocoileus virginianus texanus
Lineage: Eukaryota; Metazoa; Chordata; Mammalia; Artiodactyla; Cervidae
Source: RefSeq, a predicted model, not a curated record
GUAGAAUCAAUAUUUUCAGGGGAACACAAGUACAGAAAAAAUAUGUUGCAUUGCCAAGUUCUCCCCCUCCCAGGUUAUGACACCUUCUGUUACUUUUGACUGGGCUCUACCCUCCUUCUUCGGUCCAGUAACAGGGCUGCCGUCUGGGAACUGACACUCGGGCUCCAGGUCCUCCCCGGGAACAGCCCCAGCAAGGCACUUUACCCUCGGCUUCUCACUCUACAUGGUGUUGCGGGAUAGGUCAGCAGCUGCAGGAGAACUUGAUUAGUGCCUCGCCUCUGAGCAGAUGCAUUUCCCUGACAGCAUCGAUCCUGGGUGCUUUGGCUUUGCAGGCAGCUCCACAGAGGAGGAGCUUGGACUGCAAAGGAGGUGGACUAUUGUCUGUUCAAGGUAUGAAGAUAACCUAGCCUCAUAUGCAUAUGUAGCUGAAAAAGGGAAGACAUGCCCAGGACUCCUUGGACCACACUUUGAGAAUCACUUGCUUCAGAGAAGCACCCUUGCUGUGAGUCAGAGGUCCCAGGUCCUGCUCUGCCAGUAACCAGCUGUGCAACCAGAAGCAAGUCACUAAACCAUUCUGAACUGAAGCUUCUUUAUGUAAACAAGGAAAAGAAUAAACGUAUUGUCGAACAUC